GACUCACCCGUCGAGCAGAGACGAAAGUCGGCCUUAGUGAUCCGACGGUGCCGAGUGGAAGGGCCGUCGCUCAACGGAUAAAAGUUACUCUAGGGAUAACAGGCUGAUCUUCCCCAAGAGUCCACAUCGACGGGAAGGUUUGGCACCUCGAUGUCGGCUCUUCGACACCUGGAGCUGUAGGUGGUUCCAAGGGUUGGGCUGUUCGCCCAUUAAUG
Non-coding RNA from Hordeum vulgare subsp. vulgare (domesticated barley), 215 nucleotides. The record is from Rfam. NCBI's taxonomy places the organism in Eukaryota, Viridiplantae, Streptophyta, Magnoliopsida, Poales, Poaceae.